GACGAACGCUGGCGGCGUGCUUAACACAUGCAAGUCGAACGGAAAGGCCCUGCUUUUGUGGGGGGCUCGAGUGGCGAACGGGUGAGUAACACGUGAGUAACCUGCCCUUGACUUUGGGAUAACUUCAGGAAACUGGGGCUAAUACCGGAUAGGAGCUCCUGCUGCAUGGUGGGGGUUGGAAAGUUUCGGCGGUUGGGGAUGGACUCGCGGCUUAUCAGCUUGUUGGUGGGGUAGUGGCUUACCAAGGCUUUGACGGGUAGCCGGCCUGAGAGGGUGACCGGACACAUUGGGACUGAGAUACGGCCCAGACUCCUACGGGAGGCAGCAGUGGGGAAUAUUGCACAAUGGGCGGAAGCCUGAUGCAGCAACGCCGCGUGCGGGAUGACGGCCUUCGGGUUGUAAACCGCUUUCGCCUGUGACGAAGCGUGAGUGACGGUAAUGGGUAAAGAAGCACCGGCUAACUACGUG
RNAcentral lists this ribosomal RNA (468 nucleotides) under uncultured bacterium. RNAcentral's name for it is "partial 16S ribosomal RNA". It matches the Rfam family "Bacterial small subunit ribosomal RNA", at positions 28 to 507 of the family's 1533-position model. The record is from RNAcentral.